AGAAAAUAUAGCUCGAUAAAUAAGCAUUCAUAUAUAAUGAAAAUGAGAAUUGCAACGAUGUUAAAACAUUUACCCAAACUGAAAUAAAAGCAAAAUGAGACGUAUGAGCUCGAAUGAUUAUCUCCUAAUUUACCAUAUGGAAAUAGAAUUCGACUAAUACAGCGAAUAACCAAAAUAAUUAAUAUGUGUACUAUAAUCAACACAAUCAAAUUCUCACCGACAAAAAAAAAAGAAAAAAAAGAAAGAAACACCCUUGGUAAAUCAAAGAAAAUGGAGAAAUUAUGCGUGCAUAAAAUCACGAGCUAUUUUGUACGAUUUGAGAAAAUUUUGUAGGAUGUCAUUUCUUCUGAGCCAGCUUGGUUUGAUUGUAUUUGAGUUUGAUCCAAUGGACGCUGGUGGAGGCUCCUUCCUUGACCUUCUUCAUCCCUGCAGAAGCCACCUCCUUUGUUCUCUCAAAUUUCUCGCUAACUUUCCUUGACAGUUUUGGGGACGGACCACCAAGUCUCUUAGGCUGACGCGGACUCUUAGGGGCCUUAUUCUGAUUGGCCGCCGACCAGGGAUUCUCCGGCAAGUCAAUUGAUGUGGCCAUCGUCGUAUCUUUAUAACUUCUGACCUCAAGAAAAGUUUCAGAGAAGGUUUGAUUCUCCAGAGAAAAGGAGAGAAGAAGAUACAAGGACAGGGACGGCCUCACAAUAUUUAGCUUGGCUUUCGGUAUAGUGAAUUGCAACGGGUUGUUGUUUGCUUUAUAUAUUUUCCUUGUAUAUAAUAUAUGUGGAGUGGAGGCUGGAGGGCGAUAAAACAGAUGAUACUAAGUUUUUUAUGUUGGUGGCUUCGUGCAUGCAAUGACUUGCCAUAAAUAGUGCUUAGUUUCCUCCCAUUCUAUUCGCUGUUCUAGC
RNAcentral lists this long non-coding RNA (896 nucleotides) under Coffea arabica (coffee). RNAcentral describes it as "long non-coding RNA (CARA_LNC007636)". The record is from RNAcentral. Lineage: Eukaryota; Viridiplantae; Streptophyta; Magnoliopsida; Gentianales; Rubiaceae.